RNAcentral lists this ribosomal RNA (400 nucleotides) under phytoplankton environmental sample. RNAcentral describes it as "partial small subunit ribosomal RNA". It matches the Rfam family "Eukaryotic small subunit ribosomal RNA", at positions 587 to 987 of the family's 1831-position model. The record is from RNAcentral.
AGCUCCAAUAGCGUAUAUUAAUGUUGUUGCGGUUAAAAAGCUCGUAGUUGGAUCUCGGCGAGUAGAGGGCGGUUCGUUAUUUGACGCUACUGCCCUAUUUACUCGUGUUUUUGACGGAGGUUCCAGGGUGCUCUUAACCGAGUGUCCUGGGAUGCCGUCAGGUUUACUUUGAAAAAAUUAGAGUGCUCAAAGCAGGCUUUACACGCUUGAAUAUUCGUGCAUGGAAUAAUAGAAUAGGACGUCGUUUCUAUUUUGUUGGUUUUCGGAAAUCGACGUAAUGAUUAAUAGGGACAGUCGGGGGCAUUAGUAUUCAGACGACAGAGGUGAAAUUCUUGGACCGUCUGAAGACUAACUACUGCGAAAGCAUUUGCCAAGAAUGUUUUCAUUAAUCAAGAACGAA